AAAGUAGUACUCUGGAUUCAGUAGCUGGACACUAGUUCCAUAUUUAAUAUUACUCUUGUUCUGCCUGCUUCAGAAAGCCUAGUGGGAUAAGAAAAGGCUUGUUGUAUCACACAACUUAUUGCUUCCUACGUAUGGAGCACAGCUCUUUUCCUAGCACCUCUUGCCACUUGGUUGGGUACACACCUCAAGGACAUGGCCUGUACACUGAAGUUGCUGCUGCAGGAAUGAUCUGCUGUUUUCCUGACGUUUCCACUCAGAGAUGCCACUGUACUUGGAGGAAUUUUGAAAUAUUCACACACAAACUGCUUCUGAGGAAAAAGAAGUCAUCUGGCAGGAUGAAAAAAACUAAUGCACUCUCUGAUAUGACAUUGUGUCAAGGCAUACAAAGAGAAGUCUUGGGAAUGGAGAUUAAGAGGGAACUUCCAGAUGUCACCAGAACACUAGCGAUGCAAGGCUGCUGGUACCUCAUGAUGCCCACAAGUAUGCAGCUGUCUACACCAACCAGCAGUGUGGCUGAGGAGUGGACCAGGUCUGAACUGUGCCAUCAGUGGAUCACCAGAAGGAAUCAUUGAAGAAGUUUUCCUUCUAUGUUGGUUUCUAAGCAAUGAGGAAGGUACAAUGCACUGCAUAACAGUAUACAAUAACUACCCUUAUGGAAGGUGGUUACAAAAGACCGUGAAAGAGAUGAACUUCAGAUCCAGGGUCACAAGGAAACUUCUUACAAUCAAAACUCUGUUUGCUCACCUCUGAUGUUUGCAGAAGUGACAACUAAGUCUGCUAGUUGAAGUUUUUCUACUAUACUGGAGAUGUCUGCAACCUAGUGUUCAGUGCAACUAAAUAGAAGACUGUAAACAAUGCUGGAUGCCCUGGCCCAGGAGAGGCUUUGAAACCUUCUCCUGUUUCUUCAACACUUGAUGGUGAUUGUUUGACUGGAGAUUUACAGCAGACUUGAAUCCCAAAGCUUUUAAACAGCUGAAGUUACAGAAGCUUGAAAUGGUGUUUGGCUUCAUCAGAGUGAUAUUGGUAUCAUCAUCCGACGUCUUUCUACAUUCCAGCAGUCAAAUGUUGCUACCACUGAAAACACCAGAACAGCUUAAAGAAAAAGCAGUUUAUAGGUCUUAUCCUCCAGGCAUGUUUGUGUAUGUCUGAACUCCAACCACAUCAGUAAUGUUACUAGCUUUAAUGGAAUCUCUCCUGUGAUAGUUUAUCGCAUGUAUAAGAAUUUGUAUGAUGAAGGCCUCAGUUAGUUAUCUCCAAGGGGAAGCAGCCAAGGAAGCAAUGAACAGGGAGGAAAGAAGAUUUCCCCUCCUGCUCUUACAGAUAGCCCCUUCCAGUUAGGGUUGAGAAGACCUGAUGGAGCCAGAGAGUAUGUAGGGGUAUGUCUGCAAAACAUCUGUUGCUUGCGCAGUGUUUUCUUUCACAGAAUGGGAGAAUCAUAGCGUGGCUGAUAUGGGAAGAGGCUUCUGGAGACUGCCUAGUCCAAACUCCCUGCUUGAGCAGGGUCAGCUAGAGGAGGUCACUCAAAGCUAUAUCCAAUCAGGUAUUUUUGAACUCCGAGGAGAAACAUCCAACAACUCCUCUGGGCAACCUGUGCCACUCUGAUCAUCUUCAUAUUGAAUUUUAUUUUUCUUAUGUUUAGAUAGAAUUUCUUGUGUUCAGUUUGUUUCCAUCGCCUCUUGUCCUAUCCCUGGGCACCACUGAUAUGAAUGUUGGUCCAUGAAAGUCCCAUGUUGCAUGUAAAUAUGUAGGCGACUAAAUUUGUACCCUUGUCUCCCCUCCAUCAUCUUUUCAUAAGAAGCUAAGAUGCAAGAAAAGAAAAAGAGAUUGCAUGUUCUUCACAUGAACAUUUUUGUAACUACCAAAUGAAGGGUUCCAUUGCUACUUGCUCCAUUAAAGCCACAAUACAACAAUAUUUGAAUUGACACUGCAAAACAGCAAAGCAGAAGUUCCUGCAGUCAAAAAUAAAAAGGGAUAUAAGUGUGGAGAUGCUUUAUGUCUGUAAGAAGAAGGAAUUACUGUGUAUACAUUAAGCAAAAUCCAUGUAUCUAUUAAGUAAGAGAUAAAAGGAUUGCAUCAGUGAUAAUGUUCCCUGAUAUAAUAACAGCAAAAAGGAGAAACUAUUCCAGAGAAGAAUCCAGUUCAAUAUUGAAAUAAUAUUUUCAAUUUAUAAAAUAUUCUGUCAGUAGUGAUUCUUUCUGUCAUUAGUUUUGUUACUACUGUUAUCUUCAAUGUCCCUAAUUCAGAUGUAAACAUAGUGAUAGCAUUUCCCAUGGCUGUAAGAACUGGCUUUGUGUGGAAAAGGAAAGAAUUAAAAGAAAAGUCAUUUGAAAGGAAAAAUCUUUUCUUCUUCCUUUUUCUUGUCCCUAAAAACAAAAGGAGUGGAGGUAUGACUAUCAAAAAAAGACCCAGCAAAACCAAACAACAACAACAAAAAUACCAAAAAAUCUUGGCAAAGAUGGAAUGUAACUUAUUGUGUGAAGCAACAGAAGGCAGUAAGCCAGGAAAAAAAGAGAUAAGAAUGUCUUUGAAAAUAUUAAAUUAUAGCAUGCCUUGAAUUAUCUCCUUUAAAUUCUUAAAAUGUUCGUAGUUAUUGUUUGAAUUACUGCAACGGAAAAAAUGCAUAUAAAGCAUAUAAUAAUAAAAGACUAUGUAUUUUUCUUUUACUCCACUGUAUUCUGUUCACUGUAGUAAAUUAUGUGUGUGCAUUGUCAUAUACAGGCAUGUAUGUCAUUAUACAUUUGCUAGGUCUUUAUAUUUUUGUAUAAUUAUUUCAUAUUUAAAAUUUUAAAACUAUACACUUUGCAAUCCAAUUUGCAGAAGUCCUACUAAGUCCGACAAAAAUGAACCUAGGAAAAGAACACAAACAAAGUUGUCUAAAACUAGCUGGGCAACUUACUUUCUGGAAAGAAUGUUUUGCAAAAGGGAAUUGAAAGAUUAAUUGCAAAGUUUUCUUCAAAACUUUAGAAGAUAUUCUGAUGUAAACCUUGAAAAUAAAAUGAAUGAAGAUGUAAUUGGUAUCUUACUUGUGUUCAACAGUAGUGUUUGAGCAGGUAUCAUAGUAUAAUAGAAUGGCCUGGGUAGAAAAGACCACAAUGAUCAUCAAGUUUCAACCCCCCUGCUAUGUGCAGGGUCACCAACCACUAGACCAGGCUGCCCAGAGCUACAUCCAGCCUGGCCUUGAAUGCAUCUAGGGAUGGGGCAUCCACAACCUCCUUGGGUAACCUGUUCCAGUGCAUCACCACUCUCUGUAUGAAAAACUUCCUCCUAAUAUCUAAUCUAAACCUCCACAUCCUAGUUUAAAACCAUGAGAAGAAGCAAUGGAGGCCAAUGUAGCAAAUCAGCUACAACUUCUGUAUACCUAUAAAGAUAAAUCCCAUUCUGUUCCUUAGGAGUCUAAUAGUGUACCAUCAUGUACCUGUGUGUAUUGUACAACAGUGACAUCAUUCGUACUGACUGGAAUAGGUAUCUAGAAGGAGG
Gallus gallus (chicken) is the source of this 3477-nucleotide long non-coding RNA. Lineage: Eukaryota; Metazoa; Chordata; Aves; Galliformes; Phasianidae. The record is from Ensembl.